AUUGAACGCUGGCGGCAUGCUUUACACAUGCAAGUCGAACGGUAACAGGUUAAGCUGACGAGUGGCGAACGGGUGAGUAAUGCAUCGGAACGUGCCCGGUCGUGGGGGAUAACGCAGCGAAAGCUGCGCUAAUACCGCAUACGAUCCGAGGAUGAAAGCGGGGGACCGGAAGGCCUCGCGCGAUCGGAGCGGCCGAGUUCAGAUUAGGUAGUUGGUGGGGUAAAGGCUCACCAAGCCAACGAAAUGUAGCGGGUCUGAGAGGACGACCAGCCACACUAGGACUGAUACACGGCCCAGACUCCUACGGGAGGCAGCAGUGGGGAAUUUUGGACAAUGGGCGAAAGCCUGAUCCAGCAAUGCCGCGUGCAGGAAGAAGGCCUUCGGGUUGUAAACUGCUUUUGUACGGAGCGAAAAGGUCUCCUCUAAUACAGGGGGCUCAUGACGGUACCGUAAGAAUAAGCACCGGCUAACUACGUGCCAGCCGCCGCGGUAA
This 493-nucleotide ribosomal RNA is filed under the name uncultured bacterium. Its description in RNAcentral is "partial 16S ribosomal RNA". It matches the Rfam family "Bacterial small subunit ribosomal RNA", at positions 29 to 523 of the family's 1533-position model. The record is from RNAcentral.